RNAcentral lists this small nuclear RNA (18 nucleotides) under Arabidopsis thaliana (thale cress). RNAcentral describes it as "snRNA_07046". Lineage: Eukaryota; Viridiplantae; Streptophyta; Magnoliopsida; Brassicales; Brassicaceae. The record is from RNAcentral.
UCUGUGAAACCAGCCUCA